UACGAAGGGGGCUAGCGUUGCUCGGAAUUACUGGGCGUAAAGGGCGCGUAGGCGGCUCUGUUAGUCAGGUGUGAAAUCCCCGGGCUUAACCUGGGAAUUGCGCUUGAAACUAGCGGGCUUGAGUGUGGCAGAGGGGGGUGGAAUUCCACGUGUAGCAGUGAAAUGCGUAGAGAUGUGGAGGAGCACCGAUGGCGAAGGCAGCCCCCUGGGUCAACACUGACGCUCAUGCACGAAAGCGUGGGGAGCAAACAGG
Molecule: ribosomal RNA, 253 nt
Filed under: uncultured bacterium
Lineage: Bacteria
Description: partial 16S ribosomal RNA
Rfam family: Bacterial small subunit ribosomal RNA
Source: RNAcentral